GACGAACGCUGGCGGCAUGCCUAACACAUGCAAGUCGAACGGGACCUCCGGGUCUUUUUGCGCUCGGGUGCGUAACACGGGGGAACCUGCCCUUAGGUUCGGUAUACCUCCCCGUACGGGGUGCUAAUACCGGAUAAGGUCUUCGGACCAAAGAUUUAUCGCCUUUGGCUGGGCCUGGGUUUGCUUCGCUAGUUGGUAGGGUAAAAGCCUGUCAAGGCGACGAUGCUGAGCUGGUCGGUGAGGAUGAUCAGCCACACUGGGACUGAGACACGGCCCAGACUCGUACGGGAGGCAGCAGUGGAGAAUAUUGGAGAAGGGGCGAAAGCGUGAUACAGCAAUGCGGGGUGAGUGAUGAAGGCGGUAGGGUUGUAAAGCUGUUUUACCCGGGAUGAUAAUGACAGUACCGGGAGAAGAAGCUCCGGCUAACUACGUG
RNAcentral lists this ribosomal RNA (433 nucleotides) under uncultured bacterium. Its description in RNAcentral is "partial 16S ribosomal RNA". It matches the Rfam family "Bacterial small subunit ribosomal RNA", at positions 28 to 507 of the family's 1533-position model. The record is from RNAcentral.